UACGGGGGGAGCAAGCGUUGUUCGGAUUUACUGGGCGUAAAGGGCGCGUAGGCGGCCUGUGCAAGUCAGUUGUGAAAUCUCCGAGCUUAACUCGGAACGGUCAACUGAUACUGCUCGGCUAGAGUGCGGAAGGGGCAACUGGAAUUCUUGGUGUAGCGGUGAAAUGCGUAGAUAUCAAGAGGAACACCUGCGGCGAAGGCGGGUUGCUGGGCCGACACUGACGCUGAGGCGCGAAAGCCAGGGGAGCGAACGGG
This 254-nucleotide ribosomal RNA is filed under the name uncultured bacterium. Its description in RNAcentral is "partial 16S ribosomal RNA". It matches the Rfam family "Bacterial small subunit ribosomal RNA", at positions 524 to 776 of the family's 1533-position model. The record is from RNAcentral.